UGGUUGCGAAAUGUUGUAAAAUGCAGAAAAUAUAGCCUUGCGAAGUUUGGCUCAAAAAUGGUAACAAUUUCCGCACGUAAUAUACAAACAUACUGAAAAUAUGCAAACUUCGCAAGGCUAUAUUUUCUGUAUUUUACAACAUUUCGUAACCA
Molecule: non-coding RNA, 152 nt
Organism: Paramuricea clavata
Lineage: Eukaryota; Metazoa; Cnidaria; Anthozoa; Malacalcyonacea; Plexauridae
Source: the annotation of a GenBank genome assembly